CUCUUCUCGUGGCGGCUUUACUGGAGCUGUGUUGGUGAAUGCUUCUAAGCUCAGUCCUCCCAACAACGCCCCCUCCCAGGAAUGUGUCUGUUGGUGGUCACUGAGAACACAAAUAAUUCAUCAGGCAAAAUGGAAAAACCACGAUUUAACGAGAGGGAGGAACUAAAGAAAAUCUGUAAUUUUCGUGAAAUGGUGUUGGAGAAGUUGAUGGGAAGCCGAUAAAUCCCUCGCCCCUGACAAUCUACAUCCCAGAGUACUUACAGAAACGGUCAUACAAAUGGUGGAUGCAUUGUUGAUUAUCUUUCACGAUUUCUUACACGCAUGUGCACGGAUAAUGUAAUGUAACCUCAAUAUUUAAAAGGGAAGGUAGAGAUAAAACACAGAAUUAUAGACUGGGAGUUUGACAUAAGUAGUGGGGAAGAAGAUCGAUUCCAUUAUCAAGGAUUUUGCAGUAGAGCACGUAGAAUACAAUAGCAGAAUUAGACACAGACACCACAGAUUUACAAAAGAGAAAUCAUCCAUGACUGAUCAUCUGGGUAUCUUUUUGGGCUCUAUCCCCAACCUAUCGCUUACUCCUUAACCGCUGCCCCCAUCUUCCGCAUAAAAAAUAACUUUUUCCUAGCUGCCAUCAGUUCUCCGGAAGGGUCACUCGACCCGAAACGUUAACUCAGAUUUUUUUUCUUCACAGAUGCGGCCAGACCUGCUGAGCUCUUCCAGCAACUUUUGUUUUUGUUUCUGAUUUACAGCAUCCGCAGUUCUGUCGCUUUGUGCUGGGGCACAGCUGAUUGACGGCAGUUCCGGACCAUUUAGAGGAGAAAGGGCGUGCCCAGAGGGCGAAAGUGAAAGUGGCUGGUCCUUCAACCAAUUGGAGUGAAGGAGACAAAAAAAGAAGUUGCUGGAAAAGCUCAAGAGGUCUGGCAGCAUCAGUGAAGAGAAAAUCACAGUUAGCGUUUCAGGUCCGUUGACCCUUCCUCAGAACCGGGGACGGGGCCAGUGGAACGACACGAGACCACCAACUCGGCAGGCGCAGUGCAGCUGUGAGUGGCGCCUGAUUGAGUGUCGAAGGAAGGAGACGGGAAAGGAGAAAUUAAUGACGAAGACCGGAAAAAUAGAGUCAGUUUCAUAAAUACCAGGUGUAGGCCCCUAAACCCGAAUUAGAAACUCCCGGACCCGUGUUGCAGAAAACGGGAAAAUGGCUGUGGGCUUCAGGCGUUACAGGCCCCUUGUUACCGCCGCCAUCUUUAUUCGGGGCACGGGCAGCAGGACGCAUGCUUCUUCCUCGUCAAUAAACAUAGGGCUGGACAAAGGCAGCAGGUCGAGCAGCAUCAGAGAAGCAGGAAAGUCCCGUUUGACAUUUGUCUGUGGAAGGAAAAAACGUUUGUCGGUUCUGUCUGUGGGGAAGUAUCUCCGAUAUGGUUGUAAUUUCAAAAUCAGCAAGACGCUCAAUUUCACGAUUAUUACCGCCCCUGGGAUAUGUGUUCAGUUCUGGGCCCAGCAGCUGAGGAAGGAGAUUUUGGCCUGAGAGAGGGCACGUCUAUUUGAAUGAACUGUCAUAUGUGGCCCCAGUCGCACACUUCAUGAUUUUAAUUUAUAAAUUCCUCAUUCUCAGAUACUGCAAACUCCCUUUUAAAAUUCCUUAUGGACAUGCGUUCCCGCAUGACUUCAGGUGGAACAUUGCAGAUCCUGACAUCUCUUCAUUGAUCUAGAAACUACUGGCGUCCGUGUUGAGUCCGCAGCAUCAUAACGUGCUGAAUUGAAAGAUGAGACACUGUACCCUCAGUUCCCAUUGAGCAUCAUUAGAACAGUUCAGGAGGCUGAAGUCAGUGUAGGUGUAAGCAGACAGUUUAAAUGACAAAGCUGCAUUGUGAGUGCUGCUUGGCUCAAUGGGAGUGUUUUGAAGUUGGGCAAAAACAGUGAGUUAGGUGAGACAAGGAGAAAGGUGAAGCUGAAAGACUGAAUGUAGUGCUCAGUUUCAAUCCAGUAAUUCAGAAAGUGAUACGGUUCCAAUGGAAACAGCCAAGAGAUAAAUAAUACUGUAGAGUAUUUUCUUACAGUUUUUUUAAAGUACAUAAAUCAGCUUAAAUAAAGGGAGGGACUUCUGAUUAUAAAAGAAAUGUUUGAAACGAAGACAGCUUAAUAAAAUUCCCUUAAAGGGAGUAAUUGGCUUAAUCUAGAGAAAACAUAACAGGAGACCCAUGGUGUGCUACUCUUGCGCAAUGUGGGAAAUAAGGAAUUCUCCAGUGUCCUUGACAGCUACAUGGGCAGGAAAUAUAUCCAUCUGCAACUACUGGCUAACUGACUUUUCAGAGCUGGAGCUGUGGGUGGAUUCAUUGUGUAGCACCUACGAUGAUGAGCAUGUUGUGGACAGCAUGUUUAUCACAGUGGUGACACUGCAUGUGAGGAUUACACAGGUUGAAAUGGAAUGGGCAACCAAAGUAAAAGGCUGAGGAAGAAAGUGCAGGAGUUCUCAGUCAUCAUGCCCCUCUCAAACAGAUAUACCACUUUGGACACUGUCAGGGGAGGAGUGGCCUCUUGGGGAAAGCAGCAUCAGCCAAGCUACUUCGGGUAGGUCUGCUGCACAUAAUGUGAGGAAAACGAGCAGUAGGGUUAUAGUGAUAGACGAUUCGAUAGUAAUGGGGAUAGAACCAAAAGUGCAGGCUUAGAUUGGUCAGAUUCGGAUCAGGAAACGGGGGAGUAGAACCUUAGAUAGUGAUGCAACCAGUAGCUCAGGAAGAUAAAAGAAAUUAAGAUUAAAUGAGGAUUGAGUCUUUCCUCAUACAUCAGCCCUGAAUCCCAGGAAUCAUUCUGGUGAACCUUCUUUUCACUCUCUUAAUGGCAGGGCAUCUUUCUGGGGAAAGGAGAACAAAAGUGCUCGCAGUAUUACAGGUGUGGUCUCACAAUGCCCAUACAGAAAGAUAUCCCUUUUCCUGUACUUAAAUCCUGUCACUGUGAAGGCUAACUUAUCAUUUGCAUUCUUCACUGCAUGAACGCCUGCCUGCCUACAAAAAGAGAGUCAAGGAGAAAUAGGAAACAAAAUGGAGUCAGACAUUCUGAUAUAAAAUUGUUGAACACAGUGUCCCCUAUUGGAUCCGCGCUGGUCAUUAAGCAUCUUGUCCAGCACUGAGAGUAUAACUUAUAUUGUGCUUUGUAGGCUCGUCUAAACACUUCUUCAAGGUUACAAUGGUUUUUGCGUCUGAUACAAUUUCAAAUGCUGCUUAUUUUGCACUUCUGGCAUUUCCUGUUUUUACUUUAGAUUUUCAGUGUUUUGCUUCUGUACUUGUUCUUAAUCCUUUGGAGGGUUUGAAGGGUAUAUGGAAAAAACAGGAACAGGACUGAAUUGCAGAUCGAUAAAAUGCCUCUUCUUCAAGUCUGCCUCUCCAAUUUCUUAUCUCUUUCAGCAGUUUUGUGCAAACGCUGACUAGCUUACUUACCUGAAGAACAUAUAUGCGCGAUGCCAAUUUUAAUGAUAAUCCAGCAGAUUCCCCAAGUCGGCUCCACAAAUGACCAGACUCAUUUCUCUCAUUUUCAUAAUCUGUGUAUUCUUCUGGUUUCUCAAUCAUUACUUUUGUUUUCUGUAUGAAAGAUUAGUUUACAAUUAGAGAAUUCAGAUGAAACUACAUCCAGUUCUCACAGUCACUUUGCUUAUCAUAACCAAAUUUUGUCAGGAUUUUGAUCAUUGAAGGAAAAAAGCAUUAUUCACACUGGGGGGGAGCAGACGUGAUCUGUGCAUAGAAGAGUCUGUGAAGAUUCAUCUGGAAUGACCAAAUAUUAGUACAGUGACAUUGGGAAAAGACUGUGGAAAUGUGGAGAUUGCAGGAUGGGAUUUCUUUACCCACCCCAGCUGGAAAUGCACCAAUGCAGUCACACUGAGGAGAGACUGUGGAUAUAUGGGGAUUACAGGAAAGGAUGUUGUUACCCAUCCCAACUGGAAAUUCAUCAAUGCAUUCACACUGAGGAUAAUCCAUUCACCUACUCAGCCUGUGGGAAGAAAUUCACUGUGUCAUACAGCCUGUUGACGCAUCGAUAAGUUCACACUGGGGAGAGACCAUUCAUUUGCUCCACUUCUGGAAAAAGACAUUCACUUCAUUACCGAACCUACUCAAAUACCAGUGACUCCACACAAGGGAGCGAUCAUUCACCUGUUGCGAAUGUGGGAAAGGAUUCACUCACACAUCUAAUUUGCUGGAUCACCAGUGAGUUCUUACCAGAGAGAAACUGAUCAAUUGAUCUGAUUGUGGGAAACUAUUCACUCGGUCAACUCGUAUGAACUUGCCAGGGAGUUCACUCUGGGGAGAGACUAUUCACUUGCUCUGUGUGUUGGAAAAGAUUCACACUGUCAUCCUAAGCAUUACCACAUCAUCAAGUUGUCACUGGGUGCAUGCUAUUCUCCUGCUGUGUUUGUGGCAGUCUUUGCUGUUUGUUAAUACACCAGCUCUUCACAAAAAUACACAGUUGAAAUGUAGUCCUCUUAUUCACACCAACGAAUGAAUAAUAUCCAUUGGGCUGUUUGUACAUAUGUUAAAAUUAAACCCUGUUCUAGUAGAGAUGCCGAUAUUGUACAUAAAAUGUUCAUGUAAUUGUGUAACAGUAGAGUGGGUUUGGAAAGAACCACAAAUUCGCUGUACAUCAAUUUAUUCACACUGAAUAGAGACUGUUCACCUGCAUGUUGUUUGUAAGGGAAUUUCCUAGUCCAUCAGGCCUGGUUAAAAAAACUGUAAGGGUUGGAUUUUUAUGCUAUUAUCGAUAUCCAAAGCAUGUCUUCUGGGCCUGAUUCUGGUGAUAUUUGUAUACACCACAAUUCCAAUUAUCUAUUUGGGAUAAAAAUAAUAUAAAUCAGAUUUUUUAAAAUUUAAA
Molecule: long non-coding RNA, 4854 nt
Organism: Rhincodon typus (whale shark)
Lineage: Eukaryota; Metazoa; Chordata; Chondrichthyes; Orectolobiformes; Rhincodontidae
Exons: 2
Source: RefSeq, a predicted model, not a curated record